Molecule: ribosomal RNA, 250 nt
Filed under: uncultured bacterium
Lineage: Bacteria
Description: partial 16S ribosomal RNA
Rfam family: Bacterial small subunit ribosomal RNA
Source: RNAcentral
CACGUAGGGCGCAAGCGUUGUCCGGAAUUAUUGGGCGUAAAGAGCUCGUAGGUGGUUUGUUACGUCUGCUGUGAAAACCUAGGGCUUAACCCUGGGCUUGCAGUGGAUACGGGCAGACUAGAGGUAGGUAGGGGAGAAUGGAAUUCCUGGUGUAGCGGUGAAAUGCGCAGAUAUCAGGAGGAACACCGGUGGCGAAGGCGGUUCUCUGGGCCUUACCUGACACUGAGGAGCGAAAGCGUGGGGAGCGAAC